RNAcentral lists this ribosomal RNA (301 nucleotides) under uncultured bacterium. Its description in RNAcentral is "partial 16S ribosomal RNA". It matches the Rfam family "Bacterial small subunit ribosomal RNA", at positions 509 to 807 of the family's 1533-position model. The record is from RNAcentral.
CAGUAGCCGCGGGAAAACGGAGGGUGCAAGCGUUAAUCGGAAUUACUGGGCGUAAAGCGCACGCAGGCGGUCUGACAAGUCAGAUGUGAAAUCCCCGGGCUUAACCUGGGAACUGCAUUUGAAACUGUCAGGCUGGAGUCUUGUAGAGGGGGGUGGAAUUCCAGGUGUAGCGGUGAAAUGCGUAGAGAUCUGGAGGAAUACCGGUGGCGAAGGCGGCCCCCUGGACAAAGACUGACGCUCAGGUGCGAAAGCGUGGGGAGCAAACAGGAUUAGAUACCCGCGUAGUCCCUGUCUCUUAUAC